This 406-nucleotide ribosomal RNA is filed under the name uncultured bacterium. RNAcentral describes it as "partial 16S ribosomal RNA". It matches the Rfam family "Bacterial small subunit ribosomal RNA", at positions 30 to 526 of the family's 1533-position model. The record is from RNAcentral.
AUUGAACGCUGGCGGCAGGCCUAACACAUGCAAGUCGAACGAGUGGCGGACGGGUGAGUAAUGUCUGGGAAACUGCCUGAUGGCGGGGGAUAACUACUGGAAACGGUAGCUAAUACCGCAUACCAUCAGAUGUGCCCAGAUGGUAUGAGCGUGUUGGUGGGGUAACGGCUCACCAAGGCGACGAUCCCUAGCUGGUCUGAGAGGAUGACCAGUUAAACUGGAACGGCGCCCCGUUCCAGACUCCUACGGUAGGCAGCAGUGGGGAAGAUUGCACAAUGGGCGCAAGCCUUAUGCAGCCAUGCCGAGUGUAUGAAGAAGGCCUUCGGGUUGUAAAGUACUUUCAGCGGGGAGGCGUUACCCGCAGAAGAAGCACCGGCUAACUCCGUGCCAGCAGCCGCGGUAAUAC